UACGUAGGGUGCAAGCGUUGUCCGGAAUUAUUGGGCGUAAAGAGCUCGUAGGCGGUCUGUCGCGUCGGCUGUGAAAUCCCGAGGCUCAACCUCGGGUCUGCAGUCGAUACGGGCAAACUUGAGUGUUGCAGGGGAGACUGGAAUUCCUGGUGUAGCGGUGAAAUGCGCAGAUAUCAGGAGGAACACCGGUGGCGAAGGCGGGUCUCUGGGCCGUAACUGACGCUGAGGAGCGAAAGCGUGGGGAGCGAACAGG
This 253-nucleotide ribosomal RNA is filed under the name uncultured bacterium. RNAcentral's name for it is "partial 16S ribosomal RNA". It matches the Rfam family "Bacterial small subunit ribosomal RNA", at positions 524 to 776 of the family's 1533-position model. The record is from RNAcentral.